Molecule: ribosomal RNA, 425 nt
Filed under: uncultured rumen bacterium
Lineage: Bacteria
Description: bacterial SSU rRNA
Rfam family: Bacterial small subunit ribosomal RNA
Source: RNAcentral
GUGGGGAAUAUUGGUCAAUGGACGGAAGUCUGAACCAGCCAUGCCGCGUGCAGGAUUAAGGCCCUAUGGGUCGUAAACUGCUUUUGUGGUGGAGCAAUAAGACGUACGCGUACGUCGAUGAGAGUACAUCACGAAUAAGCAUCGGCUAACUCCGUGCCAGCAGCCGCGGUAAUACGGAGGAUGCAAGCGUUAUCCGGAUUUAUUGGGUUUAAAGGGUGCGUAGGCUGUUCGUCAAGUCAGAGGUGAAAUACCUGAGCCUAACUCAGGAACUGCCUUUGAUACUGGCGAGCUGGAAUACGGAUGCCGUGGGAGGAAUGAGUAGUGUAGCGGUGAAAUGCAUAGAUAUUACUCAGAACACCGAUUGCGAAGGCAUCUCACGAAUCCGUCAUUGACGCUGAGGCACGAAAGCGUGGGGAUCAAACAGG